RNAcentral lists this long non-coding RNA (566 nucleotides) under Helianthus annuus (common sunflower). RNAcentral describes it as "hypothetical non coding rna". Lineage: Eukaryota; Viridiplantae; Streptophyta; Magnoliopsida; Asterales; Asteraceae. The record is from RNAcentral.
UUUUUUCUAACCCGAAAAUUGCAGAUAAUUUUGAGCCAAAUGCUUGUGGUUGGGCCUUUGGUAUGAAUAUGUUUGAUUUGAAGGAGUGGAAAAAACGUGAUAUUACGGGAAUAUAUCAUGGUUGGCAAAAUAUGAACGAGGAAAGAACUCUAUGGAAGCUUGGUACGUUGCCACCUGACUGAUAACGUUUUAUAAUCUGACGCAUCCAUUGGAGCGGAGCUGGCACGUGUUGGGCCUUGGAUAUGAUCCUGCCCUUAACCAACGGAAAUAGAGAAUGCGGCUGUUGUACAUUACAAUGGGAAUUAUAAACCGUGGUUAGAUCUUGCUAUCAGCAAGUACAGGUCAUAUUGGUCAAGGUAUGUGAAGUUUGAUAAUCCGUAUCUACAAACGUGUAAUAUUAAUAGCUUCAUGUUAUCAUAAUGAUAGUGAUAUUCUUGUCUCGCGUAACAUGUAAUACGUUCAUUGUUUGUAUACAAACUCAAGGUAACAGAAUUCUGUUCAGUAAGAACAUUAUUAUACAACAUGAUUUACAGAAUUUGUAUGGUGCUAGUGUCUUUCAGUUUUGU